AUUGAACGCUGGCGGCAGGCCUAACACAUGCAAGUCGAGCGAGCGGCGGACGGGUGAGUCAUGCCUGGGAUUUGCUCAGUCGAGGGGGAUAACAGUUGGAAACGACUGCUAAUACCGCAUACGUUUGGUUUGCCCAGGUGGGAUUAGCUAGGUGGUGAGGUAAUGGCUCACCAAGGCGACGAUCCCUAGCUGGUCUGAGAGGAUAAGCAGCCACACUGUAACUGAGACACGGUCCAGACUCCUACGGGAGGCAGCAGUGGGGAAUAUUGCGCAAUGGGGGAAACCCUGAUGCAGCCAUGCCGCGUGUGUGAAGAAGGCCUUCGGGUUGUAAAGCACUUUCAGCGAGGAGGCGUUACUCGCAGAAGAAGCACCGGCUAACUCCGUGCCAGCAGCCGCGGUAAUAC
RNAcentral lists this ribosomal RNA (404 nucleotides) under uncultured bacterium. Its description in RNAcentral is "partial 16S ribosomal RNA". It matches the Rfam family "Bacterial small subunit ribosomal RNA", at positions 30 to 526 of the family's 1533-position model. The record is from RNAcentral.